UUGAACGCUGGCGGCAUGCUUUACACAUGCAAGUCGAACGGUAGACCCUUUCGGGGGUUGAGAGUGGCGAACGGGUGAGUAAUGCAUCGGAACAUACCCAGUCGUGGGGGAUAACGUAGCGAAAGUUACGCUAAUACCGCAUGAGUCCUGAGGGAGAAAGCGGGGGAUCGCAAGACCUCGCGCGAUUGGAGUGGCCGAUGUCAGAUUAGCUAGUUGGUGGGGUAAAGGCCUACCAAGGCGACGAUCUGUAGCGGGUCUGAGAGGAUGAUCCGCCAGACUGUGACUGAGACACGGCCCAGACUCCUACGGGAGGCAGCAGUGGGGAAUUUUGGACAAUGGGCGAAAGCCUGAUCCAGCCAUGCCGCGUGCGGGAAGAAGGCCUUCGGGUUGUAAAGCUCUUUCAGCCGGAAAGAAAUCGUGCAGAUUAACACUCUGUAUGGAUGACGGUACCGGAAGAAGAAGCACCGGCUAACUACGU
RNAcentral lists this ribosomal RNA (478 nucleotides) under uncultured bacterium. RNAcentral's name for it is "bacterial SSU rRNA". It matches the Rfam family "Bacterial small subunit ribosomal RNA", at positions 30 to 506 of the family's 1533-position model. The record is from RNAcentral.